Long non-coding RNA from Trichoplusia ni (cabbage looper), 342 nucleotides. RefSeq lists it as uncharacterized. The transcript is spliced from 3 exons. The record is from RefSeq and is a predicted model, not a curated record. Lineage: Eukaryota; Metazoa; Arthropoda; Insecta; Lepidoptera; Noctuidae.
UAGCUCGGAGGUUGGAAGCUAUGAAGAUAUUGUUAGCUCUCGCCGCAUGCAUACUGAUAAUGCAUGCAGUGCAAGUGAAUUCACAAUUAUGUGACUGUCCAAACACAAUGGAUCCAGUUUGUGGCAGAGACAAGAGAACUUACCCAAAUGAUUGCAGUAUUAAAUGUGCGAAGAUGGGUAUAGCUCAUUAUGGCGCAUGCAAACGGCGUGACUGAUUGAUCAGACUUCAACAUUACGGCAAAUUACGAGACCUGACAAUGGAUUAAUUUCUUUCAAUUAAUUAAUUUAGUGUAAAUAAAAUAAAUAAUAAUAUGGUACAUUAUAAUUGUACUUUUAUUUACC